UCUAAUAUGGCAGAAUAGUGCAUUGGAUUUAAGCUCCAAAUAUAAAGAAAAAUCUUUUAUUAGAA
Molecule: transfer RNA, 65 nt
Filed under: Curculionoidea sp. 2 KM-2015
Lineage: Eukaryota; Metazoa; Arthropoda; Insecta; Coleoptera
Also listed under: 1 other name
Description: tRNA-Leu
Rfam family: tRNA
About the family: Transfer RNA (tRNA) molecules are approximately 80 nucleotides in length. Their secondary structure includes four short double-helical elements and three loops (D, anti-codon, and T loops).
Source: RNAcentral